GAGUCUGCCAAAGAAAACCAAUCAAAUGAUAGCAUGGCGUCAACAUCAACUUUAGCUAGUUUAUCAGCAUGAUACAGUACUGUAUGUAGAUGGUGGAAAUUAAGAGUACUUUACUAAAAUACAACAUAAAGUACAACUUAUUCUUCUUUUAUUAGCUUCCAAAGGCUUCCAUUAGGCAUAUUAGUCUUAAACAAGGCAAAUGAUGUAGUACAGAGUUGCUAGCUGCUAAACCGUAGCGGCUAGUCCUGUAUGCUAACGUCGGCUAGAAUCGGCUGAGCUCGUCGUCCUGAGGAACACGCGUGGACGGGGCAGACUGUUCAGCCCAGAAAAAACCUCCAUAGGAUUAAAGGCCAGAGGAAAUGACCUGCUUACUGAUCACAUCACCCUUCUGACAGACCCGGGAUCAGCCGUCUACUUCAUACAGAGACUGGGCCCACCUGCUGAGACGUCACACAGCUUCCACCAGCUGUCACCGUGGUGAGGAGU
Betta splendens (Siamese fighting fish) is the source of this 486-nucleotide long non-coding RNA. NCBI's taxonomy places the organism in Eukaryota, Metazoa, Chordata, Actinopteri, Anabantiformes, Osphronemidae. The record is from Ensembl.